Molecule: ribosomal RNA, 415 nt
Rfam family: Bacterial large subunit ribosomal RNA
UGCUCAGUGAUUUUUUUAACAGCCGCAGUACAUUGACUGUGCUAAGGUAGCAUAAUAAUUUGGCCUUUAAUUGGGGUCUGGGAUGAAAGGGAAAACAUGGAAGUACUGUCUAUAUUAUAUUUUUUAAAAAUUACUAACGGAGUGAAAAUUCUUCGAAGGGAAAAAAAGACGAGAAGACCCUAAGAAUUUUUAGUACAUUUUAUAAUAUAUUAGGGUUUUUGUUGGGGCGGCAAAUUUUCAUAAAACAAAAUUUUUUUUAGGAACAAGGAUUUUUUAAGGAAGGGAAAAUUACCUUAGGGAUAACAGCAUAAUAUUUUAUGAUUGUGACCUCGAUGUUGGACUAGGAAAGCACAUUACUAACCGUAAUGUUUAUAGGUUCUGUUCGAACUUCUCUCUCCUACGUGAUCUGAGUUCA